GUGUCAGCCGCCGCGGUAAUACGGAGGGUGCGAGCGUUAAUCGGAAUUACUGGGCGUAAAGCACGCGUAGGUGGCUUGGCACGCCGGUUGUGAAAGCCCCGGGCUCAACCUGGGAACGGCAUCCGGAACGGCCAGGCUAGAGUGCAGGAGAGGAAGGUAGAAUUCCCGGUGUAGCGGUGAAAUGCGUAGAGAUCGGGAGGAAUACCAGUGGCGAAGGCGGCCUUCUGGCCUGACACUGACACUGAGGUGCGAAAGCGUGGGUAGCAAACAGGAUUAGAUACCCUGGUAGUCCACGCCGUAAACGAUGUCGACUAGCCGUUGGGACCUUUAAGGACUUAGUGGCGCAGUUAACGCGAUGAGUCGACCGCCUGGGGAGCACGGCCGCAAGGUUAAA
Molecule: ribosomal RNA, 394 nt
Filed under: uncultured bacterium
Lineage: Bacteria
Description: bacterial SSU rRNA
Rfam family: Bacterial small subunit ribosomal RNA
Source: RNAcentral